UACGUAGGGUGCAAGCGUUAAUCGGAAUUACUGGGCGUAAAGCGUGCGCAGGCGGUCUUGUAAGACAGAGGUGAAAUCCCCGGGCUCAACCUGGGAACUGCCUUUGUGACUGCAAGGCUGGAGUACGGCAGAGGGGGAUGGAAUUCCGCGUGUAGCAGUGAAAUGCGUAGAUAUGCGGAGGAACACCGAUGGCGAAGGCAAUCCCCUGGGCCUGUACUGACGCUCAUGCACGAAAGCGUGGGGAGCAAACAGG
RNAcentral lists this ribosomal RNA (253 nucleotides) under uncultured bacterium. RNAcentral describes it as "partial 16S ribosomal RNA". It matches the Rfam family "Bacterial small subunit ribosomal RNA", at positions 524 to 776 of the family's 1533-position model. The record is from RNAcentral.